UUUGUGUGUGUACUUAGUUGAGGCGUUUGAAUUUGUUUACUUUGAUUUUGGAGAAUUUGUAGGAAAAUUCUAGUUUUCAUAAACUUAGACGAACUUUGUCAAAUUAAUGUUUUAUGGUCGGACAACAAGUAGGAGACUUUGAAUUCAUGUUAGUAUGAUUUAAUGUGAAUGAAUUGUUAAGGGUUGGAUAUUUAAAUUGAUGAAUGUCAAUAUGUGGCAAAAUGUCCGUCUUUAUGUGAAAUGUGAAUUUAGAACCUUAUCGUUUCUUUGAGGUGUCGACUAUUGUUGAUGAUUAUGAUGUUGAUUCUUUGUUGA
Molecule: long non-coding RNA, 315 nt
Filed under: Medicago truncatula (barrel medic)
Lineage: Eukaryota; Viridiplantae; Streptophyta; Magnoliopsida; Fabales; Fabaceae
Description: lncRNA gene13720
Source: RNAcentral